UAGCUUAGUUGGUAGAGUGCUUGCCUUGCAUGCAGAAGGCCCUGGGUUCAAUCCUCAG
RNAcentral lists this transfer RNA (58 nucleotides) under Marmota marmota marmota (Alpine marmot). It matches the Rfam family "tRNA", at positions 8 to 63 of the family's 71-position model. From Rfam's summary of the family: Transfer RNA (tRNA) molecules are approximately 80 nucleotides in length. Their secondary structure includes four short double-helical elements and three loops (D, anti-codon, and T loops). Further hydrogen bonds mediate the characteristic L-shaped molecular structure. tRNAs have two regions of fundamental functional importance: the anti-codon, which is responsible for specific mRNA codon recognition, and the 3' end, to which the tRNAs corresponding amino acid is attached (by aminoacyl-tRNA synthetases). tRNAs cope with the degeneracy of the genetic code in two manners: having more than one tRNA (with a specific anti-codon) for a particular amino acid; and 'wobble' base-pairing, i.e. permitting non-standard base-pairing at the 3rd anti-codon position. RNAcentral also lists the same sequence under 3 other names. The record is from Rfam by way of RNAcentral. Lineage: Eukaryota; Metazoa; Chordata; Mammalia; Rodentia; Sciuridae.